GGGCACAUGGUGUAGUUGGUUAUCACGCUCGCUUAGCAUUUAUCCUAUUGCAUGCGAGAGGUGUUGGGUUCAAUUCCCAAUGCGUCCA
This is a non-coding RNA of Psilocybe cubensis, 88 nucleotides long. The record is from the annotation of a RefSeq genome assembly. NCBI's taxonomy places the organism in Eukaryota, Fungi, Basidiomycota, Agaricomycetes, Agaricales, Agrocybaceae.